GACGGAGGAUGCAAGUGUUAUCCGGAAUCACUGGGCGUAAAGCGUCUGUAGGUGGUUUAAUAAGUCAACUGUUGAAAUCUUGAGGCUACAACCUCAAAAUCGCAGUCGAAACUAUUAGGCUAGAGUAUAGUAGGGGUAAAGGGAAUUUCCAGUGGAGCGGUGAAAUACGUAGAGAUUGGAAAGAACACCGAUGGCGAAGGCACUUUACUGGGCUAUUACUAACACUCAGAGACGAAAGCUAGGGUA
Molecule: ribosomal RNA, 246 nt
Filed under: uncultured bacterium
Lineage: Bacteria
Description: partial 16S ribosomal RNA
Rfam family: Bacterial small subunit ribosomal RNA
Source: RNAcentral